Molecule: non-coding RNA, 4068 nt
Organism: Cyanistes caeruleus (blue tit)
Lineage: Eukaryota; Metazoa; Chordata; Aves; Passeriformes; Paridae
Source: RefSeq, a predicted model, not a curated record
UAUCGGGAAGGGCACAGGCGGAGCGGGGCGGGCUCCACAGAGAAGAGGUCGCAGCGUCAGCCUGGCAGAGCUCCGGAAGCGUUUGGUGAAGGCUCUCAGGCACACGAUGUGACCCUUGGGGGUCCUGUGCAGGAGCUGGACUCGAUGAUCCCUGUGGGUCUCUUCAGCUUGGCAUGUCCCGUGGUCCUGUGGGGACGCAGCUUGGCCUCUUCCCCUCGGCCACCCCGUGAGUGGGGCCUUGCGCGGCCUUCCAGGAGCAGGGGCUGGGUGAAGUAUGCAGGCUGUCCCGCCCUCAGUGGUUCUGUGUUCGCUCCACUUGGCACCUCCAGUCCAAUGCCCUUUCAACGAGAUUGACACAGAAAGGCACUUCAGGGCGCUUCCCACUUAGAGACACCCACACCCCGACACACGCCCUUUCCACCUCCAGAAGACUCUGGACAGGAGCGCUGGAUGUGGAGUUCAGCACCUGAUGAACUGGCAGAAGCACCGUGCCCAUGCCAGUUUUGGCACGUGCAGCAAGGUCAGAGAAGGCUUUUGAGGGGUCUGGGUUUUGUUAAGUCUUGGAAAACAGGCCCUGUUUCUGAGAGGCACAAUUCACAGCAGAGCACUCUAGUAUGGACUACAAUGGGCUCCUGAACCAGGGAAAUCCCAGGGGAGCAGUAAGAUGUGGGUUCUGGUAUUUCCCCACCAGCUCAUGGGUUUGCCCUCGCAGCCAGCAAGUUGGUAGCUGGAAGAGGGAAUCACAGGAUCUUUUCCACUUGUUCCAGGGACAUGACUGACAUUUGGCUUGAUCACCAGGGUUUACAAGGCCAAGUUGUGCCUCAGCACAAGGGAUCCCAGAGGGGAGAGGGAAAUUUUGUCCCUGCCUAAGAUUUCCUAACUUCUUUGCAAAACAGGUCAGAGUCAGCCCACCUGGACCAGAGAAAGUCACAUCUCACUCUGUAAGCCAGGGACAUCCACUUACAAUCCCUGUGUUACUUUCAGGUACAGUUCCAGAGGUUCUGCCCACUUGGCCAAGAGAGCCUCUGGGAGCUUGCUCCUGGGUCAGGACAGCCAGGACCCACUGAGGGGUGGAGAUGAAGGCUGGGGCUUAGCAGCUGGGAGAUGUGGCUCUGGUGUCUGGGACACUGGGGAGGAGAGGGUCACAGCAGGAGGUAUCACCAGGAACAUCACCAGGCAGCUCCAACCCCACCACACCUGGAUUCUGGUGAUCAGUGAGUAUGCAUGCAAAGGAAUGCUGGGCUGGAUAGGGAUGGGGGCAAUGUCUAGGGCGUUUCUAACAAGAAGAAAAGUGAGCGCCUCAGGGUGGGACAGGGCACAGAGCCAUGCUUGGGUCUGAAGGAAGAGGAGCUCGGGGCUCUCAGUGGUGGCAGGUGCCCAGAGAGGCUUUAAGGACAUCCUGGGUGUCCCCAGCCCCCUGUUCCCUGCCACACAGAUUCACCUUUCCACCCACCAGGCCUUGGCUUCAAGACUUGUGUUCUUCCUGGCUCUGCUGACCAUCUAGCCCAGACUGCCUCACAAUGACCAGGACAACAUGGACACAGCCAAACAGAUAGAAGAGUGUGAAGAAUAUCUGCAUCAUGAUACCAUCGUCAUCACUUGGCUGCUGCAGGUGAUAGAGGGGAAGAAGGGCACCAUGGAAGCCCCACUGCUUUCUGCAGUGCCAUAGCAGCCCGGGUCCUGGUCACUGUGGGCUGCUGGCUGGACAGGCAAAGGAAGCAUGCCUCUGCCAGCUGCAGGGAGCAGGAGAGCUCCCGCAGCAAGGAGGACAAUGGCCUGAUCUCAGAUCUCAAAUGAUCUCAGAACUUUGUGAUAAACUCAUCACCAAUGGAAACAUUCAAGCUAAGGCUGGAUGGGGCUGUGAGUAACAUGAUGUAAUUGAGCACCCCUCCUCAUUGUGGCAAUGAUCUUUAGAGAUCCCUUCUGACUCUGGCUAUUCUGUGAUUCUAAAGCAGGACCUGCCUAGCACCUGAAGCAUGGACCAGCGUGAUAGAAUCAAGACCAGUGAUUUUAUCAUCUCCUAAGGCAAUACCAUGAAGUUCACCAAAAUGAUGAUCCUAGCCCAAUCCCCAGAGACAAUAAACAUCAACAUAGGGAAGAUAUCCUGGCGAGAAAGACAUCACAUAACAGAACCCUGAUAACAAGUACUUUGUAUUUCCUUUGGCUCUGUAAGGCAAUAAAUCAACCUUGUGACCAGCAGCUGCUAAACCAAUGCAAUGAAUUGUCCGCAAGACUCCCUUUCUGCCUAUCACCCUGUUGUAGGCCUGCCUCGCAGUAGAGAUGCUCCAGUGCUGGUCCCAGAUCCCCUGAGAAAGUGGAGCAGGGGCCACAUGUCCUCCUGUACUGUAGACUUCACUCUCACAGGCAGUACAGCCCCAAGCACUGCAUAUGGGGCAUGCUUAUACAAAAUUGAGGUGACACCUCGUGUUCAUGGCUAUCCAUGCUUCCCUCCAGCUGUCUUGUCCUCUGCUGGCAUUGACAAGUCAGUAAUAUCGAUUUGGGGGCUGGGAGAUUUGUGUGGCACUUGGCUUUAGGGGGCCUGACCUGUUUUGAAAUCCCCCAGAGUCUUGCAAAACCCCCCCAACUUGGCAAUACAGUUUUUCUGGCCCUCACGCCAGUGCCUCAAGCUGUAGAUGCAGGGAGAGGCUGAGGGGUGGCAGUAGUCUGUGCCUGGCUCUGCACAGCUUGACAUGUCUCAUCAAAAAUAUCUCAGAUGCUCUUUGUGUGGUCCUCCCACUCCAGCAUGUAAUUCAAGGGCAUUGAACAGGAAGGAUUCAGAGAUGAAAUGAGGCACAGGAGAGAUGAGAAAACUGGAGUAGAGAGCAGAGGCCCCUGCCUGGAAGGUGCUUUGAUUAAACAACAGAACGGCUCAGCUGAUGCACUGCAGAAGAGGAAGGCGGGCCCAAGGAGGAGCUCCAGCCCUUGCACAGGGACAGCUCAGCAGCCCAAGACACCAUGUACUAUCCUCCUAUCCAGCUCCUCCAGGCCCAGGGUGGGAGGCUGCAGCUCACAGCAGACUUUGCAACUUCGGGAGGAUGAACUGAAGAUGAGCACUGCAUGCACGGGGAGCAUUUUUUCCCUGCUGUAGAAGGUCUUAGAACCACAAAACAGAAUUGCUGGGCCACAGAGGGGGCGGGAGGCCAGCAGCACCUGGGCAGGAAAGAGAUGCAAUCUCAACACCCUCCUUUUCCUGACCCGAGAGGCACAGCAAAUAAAGGAAAGCAGAUAACAAAAGCUAUCCCUGUCGGUCUCUUGCUGGGUCUGGCUCGACAAGGGGUCAGCAUGAAUUGUGUUUCCUGGCAGUAUGUGGAUGUGCUUUUAGAGGGAUAUCCGCUGGGUAGCGUGGGACAACAGGGCUUGGUCCACAUCAUGGAGGGCCCCGAAGUGGAGGGCAGGACUAGAUAAUGGCUUUGGGCAUCCCCAGGAAAUCCAGCCCAUUUUGGUAACAGCAAUGAGACACAUCCGGCUGCUCUUCAGUUUGCGUUGGAGAAAAUACAGCAAGCCAGGAAGAAACUUCCUGAGCACUUUGUCAGCUGCAUUAAUAUUUGCUAGCUUUUACAGCAGGCAUUCAGUCACUGGCAAUAGAAAUUGCACCUAGUACAAAGGAUGAGCAGCUAAUCCCAUAUCUGGAGAAGACCCUGACAACUAAUAAUGUGUGCAUGCAUGAUCAUGUGCUUCUGUGUUUCCUCAUUGUCAUAAACAUGAACCUUCCAUGGAAACAUCAAGGACUUUUUGGCUUCCCUAGCUGCCAAGCCAGUAGCACGCAGACUGUGGAAGGGGACACACCAGUGACAUGUUUUAUCACUGUGUACUUGAAGAGGAUGAUGAGUUUGGAUUAAGCUUGAGACCUGGAGGUUUCCUUUACAUUCCAAGGACAUGAUGGAGAUGAGAGGACACAGUCCAAACCAUGUGGUUAUCAUUCCAAGCCCACCACAGCCUCAGAGGUCCUGCAGACCCUCCAUGCAUGAACUGAGGAGGGAGACACACACACCCUCUCCCAGUAUCCGCCCAAAGGACCAAACACAGACAUCCAUCUUCUCAAACUGCUUUAAUAUUUGGACAUAAAGA